AGUUGCUUGGAUCAGAGCUGCUCAGGGCCUAGGAUGUAUGAGAAAGAGGGGCACUGUAUAUCAGGGGUGUCCUGAGGUAACCACUGAGAACAGGCACCUAGGCUGCUGAAACGGCACUGUGCAUCACAUUGAGAACCUUAGAAAAAUCUCAUAUUGUUGCAGAUCCCUUAGAAACCUAUGGGGACUGCUAUUACAGUCAGAAAUGGGGCACAAGCCAGAAUGGAAGAUACAGGUCAGGCGAGUUUGGGGGAGCUUCACAAGGAGUGGACUGAGGCUGGAGUUAGUGCAUCAAGAGCCACAACACACAGACGGAUACUGGUCAUGGGCUUCAAAUGUCGUAUUCCGCUUGUGAAGCCGCUCCUGAACAACAAACAACAUCAGAAGUGUCUUACCUGGGCUAAAGAAAAAAGAAACUGGUCUGUUGCUCAGUGGUCCAAGGUCCUCUUUUGGUGAAUCAUAUGUCGUGUCUGUCACAAUGGAAUUGCCCUUUUCUGAUGAGAGCAAAUUUUGCAUAUCAUUUGGAAACCAAGGUCCCAGAGUAUGGAGGAAGAAUGGAGAGGCACACAAUCCAAGUUGCUUUAAGUACAGUGUGAAGUUUCCACAGUCUGUGUUGAUUUAGGGGCUUUAUGGAGAUGUUGACUUCAUUUUCCAGCAGGACUUGGCACCUGCCCACACUGCCAAAAGUACCAAAACCUGGUUCAAUGACCAUAGGAUUACUGUGCUGGAUUGGCCAGCAAACUCAACUGACCUGAACCCCAUAGAGAAUCUAUGGGGCAUUGCCAAGAGAAAGAUGAGAGACAUGAGACUGAACAAUGCAGAAGAGCUGAAGGCCGCAUCCUGGUCUUCCAUAACACCUCAGCAGUGUCACAGGCUGAUAGAAUCCAUGCCACGCAGCACUGAGACAGUAAUUCAUGCAGAAGGGGUCCAAACCAAGUACUGAGUACAUAUGCAUCAUCAUACUUUUCAGAGGGCCGACAAUUCUGUAUUUAAAAUCCUUUUUUUAUUGAUUUUAUGUAAUAUUAAAAUUUUCUGAGAUUUUGGAUUUUCUUAAACUGUAAAUUGCAAUCAUCAAAAUUAUAACAAAUAAAGGCUUGGAAUAUCUCA
Pseudophryne corroboree (corroboree frog) is the source of this 1104-nucleotide long non-coding RNA. RefSeq lists it as uncharacterized. Lineage: Eukaryota; Metazoa; Chordata; Amphibia; Anura; Myobatrachidae. The record is from RefSeq and is a predicted model, not a curated record. The transcript is spliced from 3 exons.